Molecule: ribosomal RNA, 394 nt
Filed under: uncultured Spirochaeta sp.
Lineage: Bacteria; Pseudomonadati; Spirochaetota; Spirochaetia; Spirochaetales; Spirochaetaceae
Description: bacterial SSU rRNA
Rfam family: Bacterial small subunit ribosomal RNA
Source: RNAcentral
CUUGACAUACGCUGGAAUGGCGGGAGACGUCCAGCUUCGGGCCGGCGUACAGGUGCUGCAUGGCUGUCGUCAGCUCGUGCUGUGAAGUGUGGUUAAGUCCCGCAACGAGCGCAACCCUGCCAUCUGUUGCCAGCAAGUGAAGUUGGGGACUCAGGUGGAACUGCCGGUGACAAACCGGAGGAAGGUGGGGACGACGUCAAGUCAUCAUGGCCCUUAUGUCCUGGGCUACACACGUGCUACAAUGGCCGGUACAGAGCGCAGCGAAGCCGCGAGGCAAAGCGAAUCGCAAAAAGCCGGUCUCAGUACGGAUUGGAGUCUGAAACCCGACUCCAUGAAGUUGGAAUCGCUAGUAAUCGCGCAUCAGCAUGGCGCGGUGAAUACGUUCCCGGGCCUU